Molecule: microRNA precursor, 104 nt
Filed under: Chitinophaga niastensis
Lineage: Bacteria; Pseudomonadati; Bacteroidota; Chitinophagia; Chitinophagales; Chitinophagaceae
Description: microRNA mir-598
Source: RNAcentral
UACUCCCGAUUAGACUGAUUAUGCUGAUUACCCCGAUUUUAUUUUGAAAGAUUUUAAAAGGAUAAAAAAUAGAAUCGGGGUAAUCAGCAUAAUCAGUCUAAUCG